GGCCAUACCACCCUGAACGCGCCCGAUCUCAUCAGAUCUCAGAAGCAAAGCAGGGUCGGGCCUGGUUAGUACUUGGAAGGGAGAAAUACCCAAUUAGUCC
RNAcentral lists this ribosomal RNA (100 nucleotides) under Callithrix jacchus (white-tufted-ear marmoset). The record is from RNAcentral. Lineage: Eukaryota; Metazoa; Chordata; Mammalia; Primates; Cebidae.